Molecule: long non-coding RNA, 424 nt
Filed under: Elaeis guineensis (African oil palm)
Lineage: Eukaryota; Viridiplantae; Streptophyta; Magnoliopsida; Arecales; Arecaceae
Description: long non-coding RNA (EGUI_LNC045539)
Source: RNAcentral
CUUCAUAUCAUCUUCAAGCUCCCAAGUGGCCUCUCUCUCUUCAUGAUUACUCCAAUGAAUCUUUACAUACGGAAUGAUACGCCGUCUUAGAACUUGCUCUUUUCGAUCAAUAAUUCGGAGAAAAAAUUCUUCAUAGGUUAGAUCUUCAUGAACUUACAAUGGCUCAUACUUUAUCACACUAUUUGGAUCAGGUACAAACUUUCUCAGUAGUGAAACAUGAAAGAUAUUGUGCACUUUGGAUAAAUCUGGUGGUAAGACUAGUUCGUAAGCAACAUCUCCUAUUCGAUUUAAAAUUUCAAAAGAUCCAAUAUAUCACGGACUCAGCUUGCCAUGUCUCCCAAACCUCAUGACACUUUUUGUAGGUGAUAUUUUUAGAAAAAAUAUGAUCACCGAAGUAAAAUUUCAAUUCUCUUCUUUUUCUAUC